RNAcentral lists this transfer RNA (72 nucleotides) under Melghirimyces algeriensis. Its description in RNAcentral is "Thermoactinomycetaceae bacterium NariEX tRNA". It matches the Rfam family "tRNA". Rfam says of the family: Transfer RNA (tRNA) molecules are approximately 80 nucleotides in length. Their secondary structure includes four short double-helical elements and three loops (D, anti-codon, and T loops). The record is from Rfam by way of RNAcentral. Lineage: Bacteria; Bacillati; Bacillota; Bacilli; Caryophanales; Thermoactinomycetaceae.
GUGGAUGUAGUUUAACGGAAGAACACCGGCAAAACCCAGCCGGCGGAACGGGUUCGACUCCUGUCAUCCGCU